This is a long non-coding RNA of Cyprinus carpio carpio, 389 nucleotides long. Lineage: Eukaryota; Metazoa; Chordata; Actinopteri; Cypriniformes; Cyprinidae. The record is from Ensembl.
AAAACAGCAGCGAUGGCCUCCGUUGUUAAAUUUAACGCAUUCUCAAGCGUCUAUCAAAGAAUCCAUGAUGCCAUGUAUCUAAACAAGAUGUCCAGGACCUCCAGCAGAAAUAUAGGCCCACAACAUCAAAAAUACAGCAGUAUAUUUCAUUGUACACAUGGAGUGCUUUUUUUCUCUGUGUUCACCAAACCCAUCUUGAGUGUUUGCUGCUAAACAGCUAAUUUUUUAGUUUAAUAUCACCAUAGAAGCCAGUCCCAUUUAAAGUUCCAGUCGUGUCUGAUAACUGAAUAUGCUGGAGUUUGUUUUUGUAUAAGUUAGGAGAAUUUAUCUUGAAACCUUCUCAAACAACAUGUGGUGAUGUAGGUUCUGUUUGACAAUAUUUUUUGAAG